This 432-nucleotide ribosomal RNA is filed under the name uncultured bacterium. RNAcentral describes it as "bacterial SSU rRNA". It matches the Rfam family "Bacterial small subunit ribosomal RNA", at positions 917 to 1350 of the family's 1533-position model. The record is from RNAcentral.
GGGCCCGCACAAGCGGUGGAGUAUGUGGUUUAAUUCGAUGCAACGCGAAGAACCUUACCAGGGUUUGACAUCCUGCGAAUCUCUUGGAAACAGGAGAGUGCCUUCGGGAACGCAGUGACAGGUGGUGCAUGGCUGUCGUCAGCUCGUGUCGUGAGAUGUUGGGUUAAGUCCCGCAACGAGCGCAACCCACGUCUUUAGUUGCCAGCAUUUAGUUGGGCACUCUAGAGAGACUGCCGGUGAUAAACCGGAGGAAGGUGUGGAUGACGUCAAGUCAUCAUGCCCCUUACAUCCUGGGCUACACACGUACUACAAUGCUACGGACAAAGGGCUGCAAGUUCGCGAGGACAAGCAAAUCCCAUAAACCGUGGCUCAGUUCGGAUAGGAGUCUGCAACUCGACUCCUUGAAGUUGGAGUCGCUAGUAAUCGCAAAUC